Molecule: small RNA, 83 nt
Filed under: Marmota monax (woodchuck)
Lineage: Eukaryota; Metazoa; Chordata; Mammalia; Rodentia; Sciuridae
Source: RNAcentral
ACUGGGUGCAGUGGCGUACACCUGUAAUCCCAGCGGCUCAGGAGGCUGAGGCAGGAGGAUCCCAAUUUCAAAGCCAGCCUCAA